This is a long non-coding RNA of Capsella rubella, 3418 nucleotides long. RefSeq lists it as uncharacterized. The transcript is spliced from 2 exons. Lineage: Eukaryota; Viridiplantae; Streptophyta; Magnoliopsida; Brassicales; Brassicaceae. The record is from RefSeq and is a predicted model, not a curated record.
CAAAUGGUAGGGGUAAAAUUGGAAUUUUAUUUUUGAUUUGGGAUCGUGGGUAAGAAUUUACCAAAAGUUAAAUAAACGAAGACUUUUUAUAACAAAAUUUAAUAAACAAAGUUUUUUCGUUCAACAAAAAAGUACAUGUAUUAAUCGUCGAAAAAAAUUAUAGAUAGCGAAUUUUUAGGCUUUUCCCUUAAAAGAUGCAUUUUUAUAACCGGUGGACAAAUUGUUUUUUUCCAAAGGUUUCUCUUGCUUUUUCUUUGCAACUAAGGCCACGAAAAUCAUCUUCUAUAUGAUAUUUUGUGGUUCAUGUUGAUUUAAAGCCACUGGAAAACUCUUGUUCAUGUGUUAUUUCAGUGGGUUCAUGUCUUUAACCGAUGGGUAAAUCGAUUGCCCAACGGUUCAUUAUGUUUCAGCCAUUAAAGCACCAAACUCUUGAUGAUUCUUGGAUGCUCUUGGCUGUUAAAGUCUCUUUAAAACUCAAGAAACCAGAGCAAAACUCUGUCCAUUUGAACUCUUGAGUAAAUUCUCAAUUCUCUUUUAUUUAUGCUCAUUCUAUUUGCUUCGGCUAUUCUCUUUUUAUCUAUGUUCAUUCUCAUUACCUGUGCUUAUACUCUAUAUUCUCUUAUUACUAAUUCUUUAUCAUUCUCUUAUACUCUUGUUACUUAUACUCUCUUUAUUUUCAGUCUUUACUCUCUAAUCUCUCACCAUCUCUUGUUUAGAAUCUGUUCUUCUAAGUCUAAAACAGGUUCAAUCGUUGAAGAUGGUGAGUUUGCUGUCUCAAAAUGGCACAACACAGUGCUUGUAGUUAGAACCAAGGGCCACCAAGCUUUGGAAUCCACAAGAACGUCCAACCUAGUUAAUCUCCAGAAGAUACAAGGGUAAACCCGAGAGACUUACCAAGAGGGAAUGCUUUGGUUGUGGUUCUUGUGGAGAGGCCUAAUGGAAAUGCAAGCUGGUGGAAGGUGAUGAAUCAGCUCAAAAGCAUGUGUGUUAGUGUCAAGUUGUUGGAGUUCAAGAUUGGAUGUGCACUAGAUGUCAAGCCAUACUAGGCAUAAGGUCUCUUGACUCAAGACAUGGCCCAAGCCAUGAAUAAAUCAAGAGAGUGGUCCCAAAGAGAGUUAAAGGAGAGGAGGCAUGUGUGGAAAUUCUCAAAGAGAAACGCAAGAUGAGGCAAAGAGGUCCAUAAGAAGAGGAAUCAAGUCAUGAAGGACUAAAAGGAAUGAAAUCUCUUAGAGGAAGAAGCAAAUUCUUAACCAUGCAAGAAAUUUCUCUGUCAAAGCGUCCUAAAGAUUAACUUGUACGACGGCCUUCCACUGGGAUUCAGCUUCCACAUUAUUGAUUAAAGUUGUUGGAAUUUGAGUAAGCUUUCCAGUGAAAGUGAUAUCACCCACAACCGAGGAUAAGAUCAAAAGUUAUGCCCGAUUCAGUGGGUAUAUAUCAAUCUGACGCGACUGAGAAGAAGCUAUCGACUAUUGAGGUCGGUUGAGGUGUCGAUUGGCCAUUGCCUGGCCAUGAAAAGUGCUUCAAAAGAAGCCAAAUUGGAGCCCUUGAAACCUAAGAAGCGGUCAUGAAAGAAGCCUUAGAAUACUAGUCUUGAUGUUGUUCCAAGAAGGGAUAAUGAAGGAGGAUUAGCUUUAAGAGCUAAUGGCUGCUAGGCUUGGUGUUGUGAAGAAGUUUCAAAGAAAGAUACAAAGAAGGAGAAGUCAAAGAACACUUCCGGAGCUAAAGAAGGGUGUGUAAAAACCUCCAAGAUUGGCUCUCAUUCAACUUUCAAACCAAACUUGAGGGGGAGAAAAGUGUAAACAACCCUCAUGGAGCUCUAGAAGAUCUUUAAAGAAGCGAAUAAUCAAGGAAGCUUCAAAGAAGGUCUCAUUCAGCUUCAAGACCACUUGAUAGUUUCAACCAUAGUACUAAACUCCGGCGGUACAAAGGAUGACCCGAGGGAAGAGUAUAUAUGGCUCUCUCAAGCGUGGUGAACCUAUUUAAAGCUGACCGAGAGAGAUAAAGCUAGAUGGAAGGACUAGUGGAGAUACAAGGCUGGUGGUUAACCGAUGGAUCAUCUCCAUCAUGUUUUGGGGCUUAUAUGUAAUGUGGAGCUGUGAAAGAAGCUCCAAUAAUCCUAAAAGGAAGCGUCUGGAGAAGAAGUCUCCAAGCCAACCAUGAAGCUCAUCCAAAGUUGGAUGUAGAAGAGGUGCAUUGAGUUCUAGUAAGUCAUCAACCAUGAAGAGGAGACCCAUGGGGCAGAAACUCAAGUGGUGGUGGAAAACAAGUCUCAACCAAAUACAUUACAACAAUGAAGACAAAAGGCUAUCUCUAAACCCUUAACUCUUUCAAUAUCUUUAAUUCAUUGCUCACAUUUUAUUCAGAUUAGCCAUGCACUUAAAGUGACUUUGUCAUGCUUAGAAUCUGAAUUUAGAGAAUGAAUUUUAAGUUUUGUUUUUAGAGAUUUGUCUUCAAUUUACUCGGAUUAAUCAUGCUUAAUCUGUCAUGUUUCAAUUGGAUUUGCAUGUUUAAAUUCUUAUUUGUACUGUUGUGUUUAAAUUGAGCUUAGUAAGAGACUAGUUCAAUUUGAGUUUGGUCUAUUUAGUCUCAAUCUAGCUUAAUGUUAUCCUUGUGGCCAAUACACUUAAGAUUUCUUUACAUAUUUUUGUUGAAGGUGCAAAAAAGCUAGAUGAGAAGAAGAGAACCGGAUGGAUAAUUCUAGCUUGACUCAAGGAAGAUCAAUCCAUGGUGGUGACCGAGAGGGAGAAAGCCCUCAAGCGAGUACACACACGGAGGAUUAGAGUCUCAAAAAGAAGUCAAAGCAAGAAGCCAAAGAGAUCUCAUAUUCAAACCAUGGUCAUAGCUACAUCAUUCAACCGUGAAGACUAUACUCUUUUUCCCUUAACAAAGUUUUGUCCCAAGAGGUUUUCUUUGUUAAGGUUUUUUUAAUGAGGUAGUCAUUUGCGUGUUGCAAGCUUGGCAUUUGGUUCCCGCUGCCCAAGCUUGAGAGGGAGUAUUAGAGAGGAAGAAGAGAAAGGAGAACCUAAGGCCGAAGUCUAGAAGACGAGGCCGAGCUUAAUGGUGUUCAAUGAAGUGUGACACUCAACUAGGCUCGUGUAUCUCCAAGCUUAACCUCCGAUGUCUCUACACUUAAUCUUGAGGGGGAGUAUUGAGUAUGUCAAGAUAGAAUAGACCAUUAUGUUCUACUUUAUAUUAGUCUAUUCUUUAUUGACUAAGUUCGCAUAGUAUAGACCAUUAGGCUCGUCUCUAUAUUGGUCUAUACUAUACAUACGGGGGAUGUUAAGAGAUAAAAUAGAUUAGCAUUAUUUAUAUUAUUAGCUUUCCUUGUAAGCUUAUCCCUUAUCCCACCUACAUAUAUGUGUGGCUGUAAACCUAAUGAAGUAAGGGAGAGCAAUUCUCUCUCUUCUAUUCUUGGUUA